CGAAAGAGUGGCUAAUACCGCAUACGAUCUACGGAUGAAAGCGGGGGAUCGCAAGACCUCGCGCGUCUGGAGCGGCUGAUGGCAGAUUAGGUAGUUGGUGGGAUAAAAGCCUACCAAGCCAACGAUCUGUAGCUGGUCUGAGAGGAUGAUCAGCCACACUGGGACUGAGACACGGCCCAGACUCCUACGGGAGGCAGCAGUGGGGAAUUUUGGACAAUGGGCGAAAGCCUGAUCCAGCCAUUCCGCGUGCAGGAUGAAGGCCCUCGGGUUGUAAACUGCUUUUGUACAGAACGAAAAAGCUCUGGCUAAUACCUGGAGUCCAUGACGGUACUGUAAGAAUAAGCACCGGCUAACUACGUGCCAGCAGCCGCGGUAAUACGUAGGGUGCAAGCGUUAAUCGGAAUUACUGGGCGUAAAGCGUGCGCAGGCGGUUUUGUAAGACAGAGGUGAAAUCCCCGGGCUCAACCUGGGAACUGCCUUUGUGACUGCAAGGCUGGAGUGCGGCAGAGGGGGA
RNAcentral lists this ribosomal RNA (514 nucleotides) under uncultured bacterium. RNAcentral describes it as "bacterial SSU rRNA". It matches the Rfam family "Bacterial small subunit ribosomal RNA", at positions 152 to 661 of the family's 1533-position model. The record is from RNAcentral.